UGGCCUUGACAUCCCCGUAAACCUUAUGAAAGUAAGGGUUCCCCGCGAUGGGACUGGGUGAC
RNAcentral lists this ribosomal RNA (62 nucleotides) under uncultured bacterium. RNAcentral describes it as "partial 16S ribosomal RNA". The record is from RNAcentral.